ACACAUGCUAUAUAAACUCCAGCCACACGAUGGAUCAGCAUUAGCAUUACCAGCAACACAGCUUCGGCUUCAGUAGCAAUCGUCAGUAUGAAAGCGGCAACGGUCUUCCUCCUGGUGGCGCUGUUGGUGGCAGUGUGCCUUACCCAGAUGGCAUAUGCUGGAGGUGGUGGCGACAAGGGACAUGGCGGUGGCCAUGGUGGUGGCCAUGGAGGACAUGGCGGCCAUGGCGGCGGCCACGGUGGACACGGCGACCAUGGGGGAAAAGGCCACGGGGGGAAAGGCCACUGAGGGCACCUAGCAACGGCGCGAUCGUAGCUGUGAAUCACAACCUAAUACCAGCUGCAUCAUGUGCAUACACUGAGGAGAGUACUGAUAUUGCUAUAACAAAUUAUCUGUUAUUUGUGAAAUUCGUCUUUCUCUGCUUUAGCGAAUUAAUUUUGUGUGUACACUGAGCAGAACAGCUCAUUGUAGCUGUGAUGGAGAGUGAAAUAUAAUUACAAAAAUGUA
Molecule: long non-coding RNA, 507 nt
Filed under: Schistocerca americana (American grasshopper)
Lineage: Eukaryota; Metazoa; Arthropoda; Insecta; Orthoptera; Acrididae
Description: uncharacterized LOC124614016
Source: RNAcentral